ACCCGCUGAACUUAAGCAUAUCAAUAAGCGGAGGAAAAGAAACCAACAGGGAUUGCCCUAGUAACGGCGAGUGAAGCGGCAACAGCUCAAAUUUGAAAUCUGGCGUCUUCGGCGUCCGAGUUGUAAUUUGCAGAGGGCGCUUUGGCAUUGGCAGCGGUCCAAGUUCCUUGGAACAGGACGUCACAGAGGGUGAGAAUCCCGUACGUGGUCGCUAGCCUUUACCGUGUAAAGCCCCUUCGACGAGUCGAGUUGUUUGGGAAUGCAGCUCUAAAUGGGAGGUAAAUUUCUUCUAAAGCUAAAUACUGGCCAGAGACCGAUAGCGCACAAGUAGAGUGAUCGAAAGAUGAAAAGCACUUUGGAAAGAGAGUUAAAAAGCACGUGAAAUUGUUGAAAGGGAAGCGCUUGCAGCCAGACUUGCCUGUAGUUGCUCAUCCGGGUUUCUACCCGGUGCACUCUUCUAUAGGCAGGCCAGCAUCAGUUUGGGCGGUUGGAUAAAGGUCUCUGUCAUGUACCUCUCUUCGGGGAGAACUUAUAGGGGAGACGACAUGCAACCAGCCUGGACUGAGGUCCGCGCAUCUGCUAGGAUGCUGGCGUAAUGGCUGU
This 603-nucleotide ribosomal RNA is filed under the name uncultured fungus. RNAcentral describes it as "eukaryotic LSU rRNA". It matches the Rfam family "Eukaryotic large subunit ribosomal RNA", at positions 23 to 641 of the family's 3401-position model. Lineage: Eukaryota; Fungi. The record is from RNAcentral.